UACGAAGGGGGCUAGCGUUGCUCGGAAUCACUGGGCGUAAAGGGUGCGUAGGCGGGUCUUUUAAGUCAGGGGUGAAAUCCUGGAGCUCAACUCCAGAACUGCCUUUGAUACUGAGGAUCUUGAGUGUGGGAGAGGUGAGUGGAACUGCGAGUGUAGAGGUGAAAUUCGUAGAUAUUCGCAAGAACACCAGUGGCGAAGGCGGCUCACUGGCCCAUUACUGACGCUGAGGCACGAAAGCGUGGGGAGCAACAGG
This 253-nucleotide ribosomal RNA is filed under the name uncultured bacterium. RNAcentral describes it as "partial 16S ribosomal RNA". It matches the Rfam family "Bacterial small subunit ribosomal RNA", at positions 524 to 775 of the family's 1533-position model. The record is from RNAcentral.